This 253-nucleotide ribosomal RNA is filed under the name uncultured bacterium. Its description in RNAcentral is "partial 16S ribosomal RNA". It matches the Rfam family "Bacterial small subunit ribosomal RNA", at positions 524 to 776 of the family's 1533-position model. The record is from RNAcentral.
UACGGGGGGGGCAAGCGUUGUUCGGAAUUACUGGGCGUAAAGGGCUCGUAGGCGGCCAACUAAGUCGGAUGUGAAAUCCCCAGGCUUAACCUGGGAACUGCAUCCGAUACUGGAUGGCUUGAAUCCGGGAGAGGGAUGCAGAAUUCCAGGUGUAGCGGUGAAAUGCGUAGAUAUCUGGAGGAAUACCGGUGGCGAAGGCGGCGUCCUGGACCGGCAUUGACGCUGAGGAGCGAAAGCUAGGGGAGCAAACGGG